Molecule: long non-coding RNA, 1400 nt
Filed under: Anser brachyrhynchus (Pink-footed goose)
Lineage: Eukaryota; Metazoa; Chordata; Aves; Anseriformes; Anatidae
Description: lncRNA (ENSABRG00000022086.1)
Source: RNAcentral
UGCAGAGAGGGGCUGGACACUGGUUUGGAGCACAGCCUCCAUGGGUGGAAGGUGGUGUUUAACCUCCCCAUCAGCCCCUGGCAUGCAGGCAGGUGGUUGAGCCCUUCGUCAUUUUGAUAGGCGGUGAUUUGACACCGGCAGACAGGAGAGGCAAGAGCAUUGCUCUUUUUUAGGUGAGGGCAGGCAAUAAACCUCUGGAAGGAGAGUUAAAGCUAGCAUCUUGCACGAGUUAUAGACUGCAGAAAAUCAGAGGGAGGAGGACUGACUGUGACUACAGCUGAGAGAAAGUUUAUGUGGACAGGGAACAUAUAUCCCCAGAUCAGGAGCUUCCUCGGGGAAGGACGCUGUGCUUAGGAGUUGAGUCCUUGAGGUGAGGCUUUGCAGGAGUUUGGACAGCUUGUUAGCAAAGCAAAGCAGAGAGUGAGCCCCUUCACAGCUCGUUAAAAUCCCAGGUGGAUAUGCAAACUGGUUUUUGUGCUCUUCCUUAUAACUGUUUGGGGGCUUUGACAUACCUGAUCUGUAUUUAUAUCUGUGUAAGUCAUGUCUUCCUUUAUUUUUACCUUAACCCUUGUCUUUUUAUUGCAAGAUGGUGUCAUGGUAACGGACCCACAACUAAGAUAUCCAUAUCUCGGUGUCAGGCAGCCCUUACAGAAACAUGAUGUUUGACUGUUCCCACAGCUUUCCAGCAAAACCAACACUUUUCUAGGGUGCCUGUGGAGCUGGAGAGACUUCAUGACAAAGCUUCGCAGUGAAAAGUUUAGAAAUGAUAAUUUGUGUUUUCCAGGAGGCGAGUGCUCAUUAAAGCUAGCUAGUGGCUCCUUGGCAUACAGUAUGGAGGUGGAAAGAAAACAUGAGUUUCUGCAUGGCCCAGAAAGGCAACGAUGCUUCUUUUGUAUACCUGUUUAUUGCAAUUGCAAGCUUUGGAUGAAAAGCACUUUGUCUUCAUGUGUGCCACUUCAUCAACUAGCAAAUUGGAGUCAGGGAGCAAAUAUAUGGAGACCAAACACAGGUUAUUCUGCACUGCAUAGGUACGUGUGUGCAUACAUAUCCUUAUGCAAGUGCACGCUAUCUCUCCAGUAACCUUUUCUGUCCCUUCUUAGCUUUGUCAAUGUCAAGGUAAAAAUGUGUUCUCUUUGUUUCUUGUCUUUUUAAGCAGUUUUCCUGGCCCGUUGUUCUUCAUUUUUCAUUUGAUUUGAAUCUAAGCUGUGAGGAAGAUGAACCUUUCACCUGCUGAAGAACAUCACUCUUGUGAAUAAGAAUCUAUAUUAAAAGAUGUUAAAAUUCUCUGCAGAAAUGAGUGUUUUAAAGGUAGUUAGAUCUAUUGCCUUUCAAAUCUGACUUUUCAUAUUGCAUUAUAUUGCUCAGUAUAAUGUGUGAAACAUGUAAAGGGUAUAUCAGAG